UACGGAGGGUGCAAGCGUUAUCCGGAUUCACUGGGUUUAAAGGGUGCGUAGGUGGGUUGGUAAGUCAGUGGUGAAAUCUCCGUGCUUAACAUGGAAACUGCCAUUGAUACUACUGGUCUUGAAUUUUCUGGAGGUAAGCGGAAUAUGUCAUGUAGCGGUGAAAUGCUUAGAUAUGACAUAGAACACCAAUUGCGAAGGCAGCUCACUACACAGCCAUUGACGCUGAGGCACGAAAGCGUGGGGAUCAAACAGG
RNAcentral lists this ribosomal RNA (253 nucleotides) under uncultured bacterium. RNAcentral describes it as "partial 16S ribosomal RNA". It matches the Rfam family "Bacterial small subunit ribosomal RNA", at positions 524 to 776 of the family's 1533-position model. The record is from RNAcentral.